AGUGGCGAACGGGUGAGUAACACGUGAGUAACCUGCCCCUGACUCUGGGAUAAGCGUUGGAAACGACGUCUAAUACUGGAUAUGAUCACUGGCCGCAUGGUCUGGUGGUGGAAAGAUUUUUUGGUUGGGGAUGGACUCGCGGCCUAUCAGCUUGUUGGUGAGGUAAUGGCUCACCAAGGCGACGACGGGUAGCCGGCCUGAGAGGGUGACCGGCCACACUGGGACUGAGACACGGCCCAGACUCCUACGGGAGGCAGCAGUGGGGAAUAUUGCACAAUGGGCGAAAGCCUGAUGCAGCAACGCCGCGUGAGGGAUGACGGCCUUCGGGUUGUAAACCUCUUUUAGUAGGGAAGAAGCGAAAGUGACGGUACCUGCAGAAAAAGCACCGGCUAACUACGUGCCAGCAGCCGCGGUAAUACGUAGGGUGCAAGCGUUGUCCGGAAUUAUUGGGCGUAAAGAGCUCGUAGGCGGUUUGUCGCGUCUGCUGUGAAAUCCCGAGGCUCAACCUCGGGCUUGCAGUGGGUACGGGCAGACUAGAGUGCGGUAGGGGAGAUUGGAAUUCCUGGUGUAGCGGUGGAAUGCGCAGAUAUCAGGAGGAACACCCAUGGCGAAAGCAGAUCUCUGGGCCGUAACUGACGCUUAGGAGCGAAAGCAUGGGGAGCGAACAGGAUUAAAUACCCUG
RNAcentral lists this ribosomal RNA (682 nucleotides) under bacterium STEN-99. Its description in RNAcentral is "bacterial SSU rRNA". It matches the Rfam family "Bacterial small subunit ribosomal RNA", at positions 94 to 789 of the family's 1533-position model. The record is from RNAcentral.